Molecule: small nucleolar RNA, 178 nt
Filed under: Myotis davidii
Lineage: Eukaryota; Metazoa; Chordata; Mammalia; Chiroptera; Vespertilionidae
Description: Small Cajal body specific RNA 1
Rfam family: Small Cajal body specific RNA 1
About the family: scaRNAs are a specific class of small nuclear RNAs which localise to the Cajal bodies and guide the modification of RNA polymerase II transcribed spliceosomal RNAs U1, U2, U4, U5 and U12. ACA35 belong to the H/ACA box class of guide RNAs as it has the predicted hairpin-hinge-hairpin-tail structure, conserved H/ACA-box motifs and is found associated with GAR1.
Source: Rfam by way of RNAcentral
UCUCUCUCUACCCCUCCCUUCCUCUCUGAAAUAAAUAAAUAAAUAUAUGUAUAUAUGUAUAUAUAGAGAGAGAGAAAGAGAGAGAGAGAUUUAAAAAGUGCAAUAUUAAAACAAAAGUGGAGUCUUUUAAGCCCAUUGUGUAAAGACACACUCUGAGUUAUAACUCAGUGGCACUCCC